AUUGGAGGUGCAGCGAAGAGGUUCCAGGAAAUAGCUCCACCGUAUAGACCGUACCCGAAACCGACACAGGUGGACUGGUAGAGAAUACCAAGGCGCUUGAGAGAACAACGUUGAAGGAACUCGGCAAAAUACCUCCGUAAGUUCGCGAGAAGGAGGCCCGGU
This 162-nucleotide ribosomal RNA is filed under the name Paraphysomonas imperforata. RNAcentral describes it as "partial Bacterial large subunit ribosomal RNA". It matches the Rfam family "Bacterial large subunit ribosomal RNA", at positions 1584 to 1755 of the family's 2925-position model. Lineage: Eukaryota; Chrysophyceae; Chromulinales; Paraphysomonadaceae. The record is from RNAcentral.